Molecule: long non-coding RNA, 256 nt
Filed under: Pelobates cultripes (western spadefoot toad)
Lineage: Eukaryota; Metazoa; Chordata; Amphibia; Anura; Pelobatidae
Source: RNAcentral
AUUUUAGUUCCAGACACUCGACGGCAAAACACCGCUGUUCGGGAGUUUUAAAAUGGCCGCCGCCACGUGUUCGUUUGUCGAAUGGCGGCCACCCCCGAGAACAAAGGACGGCUACUUACUGUUCAAUUACCCGUUCGCAACAAUGUUGCAACGGGUAAUUGAGGACACGCUUCACACAGGGGAGGUCUGGUUGUUCGGUAGUUUCAUUCGAAUAAACUAAGGGAACGAAACUACCGAACAAUCACAAGAAUACAAG